AGUGAACGCUGGCGGUAGGCCUAACACAUGCAAGUCGAACGGCAGCACAGAGGAGCUUGCUCCUUGGGUGGCGAGUGGCGGACGGGUGAGGAAUACAUCGGAAUCUACUCUGUCGUGGGGGAUAACGUAGGGAGACUUACGCUAAUACCGCAUACGACCUACGGGUGAAAGCAGGGGAUCUUCGGACCUUGCGCGAUUGAAUGAGCCGAUGUCGGAUUAGCUAGUUGGCGGGGUAAAGGCCCACCAAGGCGACGAUCCGUAGCUGGUCUGAGAGGAUGAUCAGCCACACUGGAACUGAGACACGGUCCAGACUCCUACGGGGGGCAGCAGUGGGGAAUAUUGGACAAUGGGCGCAAGCCUGAUCCAGCCAUACCGCGUGGGUGAAGAAGGCCUUCGGGUUGUAAAGCCCUUUUGUUGGGAAAGAAAUCCAUCUGGUUAAUACCCGGGUGGGAUGACGGUACCCAAAGAAUAAGCACCGGCUAACUUCGUGCCAGCAGCCGCGGUAA
This 506-nucleotide ribosomal RNA is filed under the name uncultured bacterium. RNAcentral describes it as "partial 16S ribosomal RNA". It matches the Rfam family "Bacterial small subunit ribosomal RNA", at positions 29 to 523 of the family's 1533-position model. The record is from RNAcentral.